AUGAACUACUCCCGGAAUAACAAUAGCAAUCCCAGUAAGUUGAUCAGGAGAAACAAUCCAAUUCUGGCACGAUUUUGUAUUGUAGAAAAAAAAUUCGCACCGUUCCCAUCGAACGGGCACCUAAGCAUUGGGGUUUGCUGGGUCAGCCUAUCCGAGUCGUAUGCUGUUGGACCGGGGGCACGAGUCCGCGCGGCUCGGCGCGCCGCCCCCCUCCGACGACCCCGACAGCUCGGUGCACUCGACCUUGCUCCUCCGCGUCGUCUUCACGCGCAGUUGUACCCCCCACGACACCACGCGCCUGCACACCCUUUCCACCACGUCCCUCCCGCGGCGGUGCCACCCGCCGCUCUCCAGGGCGCCGCGCAGCUCCGACGCCACCUCCGCCAUCGCUGGCCGGCGCUCCACGCUCUCCGACACGCACCGCGCGGCCACGGACAGGACCCUGUCGAUCGCGGCCUCGGCGUCGGUGCCGGGACGGGGCGCGGCCACCCUCCCGUCGAACACCUGGCGCGCCAGCCCGGCGCCGAUCAGCGGCAGCGCCCACGCGACGAUGGACGACGGGGAGGCGUUCACGUCCAUCACCUUGCGCCCGCUGAUGAGCUCCAGGAGCACCACGCCGAAGCUGAACACGUCGCUCUCGGGCCCCAGCCGGCCCGGCUCCGUGUAGCUCGGGUCCAGGUACCCCAUAGUGCCAGCCGGAGCCGGCCUCGGCGCGCCCGCGGCGGCGACCCUGACCGCGAGGCUGAAGUCGGCGAGGCGGGCGCGGCCGUCGCGGCCGAGCAGGACGUUGGCCGUCUUGACGUCCCGGUGUAUGACGCGGGGCGCGGCGCCGUGCAGCGCGCGCAUGGCCCGCGCCACGUCGAGCGCGAUCUCCACGCGGCGCGGCCACGGCGGCGGCCUCGGGGACCGGUGCAGCAGGUCGUGCAGCGAGCCGUUGGGCAUGAACUCCAUGACGAGAAGCGGCGACCGCCCCGCCGCCGCAACCGCGCCGACGAGGGUCACGACGCCCGGGUGGUGGCGCGCGGCCGUGAGCACGGCGAUCUCGUUGGCGAGCUUGGCCUCCCCCUGCGGGUGCGAGGCCUUCUUGACGGCGACGGUGACGAGCCUCCUGCCGUGGCCGGCGCCGCCCCUGAGCCUGGCCCUGUAGACGCAGCCGUGGCUGCCCUUGCCGACGACGUUCUUGGCCGCGAAGCCGCCGGUCGCCGCCUCGAUCUCCUGGUAGGAAAACUCCUUCAUGCUCUUGGCGUGUUGCUACCUGCCUGCCUACUGACUGACCUACGGUCGGGUUCUUGGUGGUGCAAUGGUGGCAGUGCCGUGUGUGAGCGGAGUGUAAGCAACAGAAUGCUCGCUGCUCGCAAAGCAGUGGGAGGAGUAGUACUCGCAACUAGGCAUGGAAUAAAGGGAAAAGAAGAGGCGAGGAAAGGUAAAGGCAAUGGAUCAAAGGUGGUAAAGGUUGGUGAUUACGUGUUUUUUAGAGGGAGGGAGGGGACGGAUUUUGGAGAGGGAUGA
RNAcentral lists this ribosomal RNA (1509 nucleotides) under Triticum aestivum (bread wheat). RNAcentral describes it as "partial small subunit ribosomal RNA". Lineage: Eukaryota; Viridiplantae; Streptophyta; Magnoliopsida; Poales; Poaceae. The record is from RNAcentral.